GACGAACGCUGGCGGCGUGCCUAACACAUGCAAGUCGAACGGAACUGUUUUGAAAGAUUUCUUCGGAAUGAAUUUGAUUUAGUUUAGUGGCGGACGGGUGAGUAACGCGUGAGUAACCUGCCUUCAAGAGGGGAAUAACAUUCUGAAAAGAAUGCUAAUACCGCAUGACAUAUCGGAACCACAUGGUUUUGAUAUCAAAGAUUUUAUCGCUUGAAGAUGGACUCGCGUCCGCUUAGUUAGUUGGUGAGGUAACGGCUCACCAAGACCGCGAUCGGUAGCCGGACUGGGAGGUUGAACGGCCAAAUUGGGACUGAGACACGGCCCAGACUCCUACGGGAGGCAGCAGUGGGGGAUAUUGCGCAAUGGGGGCAACCCUGACGCAGCAACGCCGCGUGAAGGAUGAAGGUUUUCGGAUUGUAAACUUCUUUUAUUAAGGACGAAAAAUGACGGUACUUAAUGAAUAAGCUCCGGCUAACUACGUG
RNAcentral lists this ribosomal RNA (482 nucleotides) under uncultured bacterium. RNAcentral describes it as "partial 16S ribosomal RNA". It matches the Rfam family "Bacterial small subunit ribosomal RNA", at positions 28 to 507 of the family's 1533-position model. The record is from RNAcentral.